RNAcentral lists this long non-coding RNA (1331 nucleotides) under Lynx pardinus (Iberian lynx). Lineage: Eukaryota; Metazoa; Chordata; Mammalia; Carnivora; Felidae. The record is from RNAcentral.
CAGGAAAAAGCGUUCCCCUUUCUCCGUAUCCUCACAUCUUCUAUUUGUGUCCUAGUACUUAGGCACCUGCGUUAAAUGUCCGCAUGUGGUGCCUGCGUCCUGUGUUCAAACACUGGCAGGAAACUGUGUCCACAGGAGGAGACCUGGGUAUUAUCAUGAGCUAAAGGUAAGUUCAGGACAACUCGGGGGGCUUCUGCACAGGUGCCCAGCUCCAAACCUGCUCAGACUGGCUCACGAAAGGGGCCACCAGGGGAAACACCUAGCUGGGGAGGAGGGGUGUCUCCCGGGCUGGAACUAGUGUUCCUGCAAAACAGAAUGCAUCCCUUCCCUGCUUUGGGGCCCUCCCCCCUCCUCCUCCCUCCGUGGGUAGCUUCCUGCCUCUGGUUUGAGCAACUCCCUGUUGUAACAUUACCCCCCGCGCCUUAUUUACUUUGGAGCCCAGCAGGCUACAGGCCCAAAGGGAGCUGGAGGAGACUGGAGACAAGAACAGGGCAGAGUCCUGUGACCCCAAGGCUGUGCCUACAGCCCGUGGGAUCCCCUUCCACCCUCGUCACCUCCCGUGUCCAGUUUUUCACAGGGUUCUGCCAAUGCUUCCACUGAAAUGACUUUUUUUUUUAAUUUUUUUUAAACGUUUAUUUAUUUUUGAGACAGAGAGAGACAGAGCACGAACGGGGGAGAGUCAGAGAGAGAGAGGGGGACACAGAAUCGGAAACAGGCUCCAGGCUCCGAGCUGUCAGCACAGAGCCCGACGCGGGGCUCGAACUCACGAACCACGAGAUCAUGACCUGAGCCGAAGUCGGACGCUUAACCGACUGAGCCACCCAGGCGCCCCAUGACUUUUUUUUUUUUUUUUACAACAGCCUCUUUCAGAUAUAAUUCACAUACCAGACGUCCACCAUUUAAAGUGUAAAGCUCACUAGUUUUAGUGUAUUCAGGUAUGUGCCCCCACAAUCAAUUCUAGACGAUUUCAUCACCUCCCAGAGAAACCCUAAAGCUUUUAGCUCUCACCUUCCUGCCCCCACAUUCCUCUGCCCGGAGCAACUGCUAAUCCCUUUUGUCCCCGUGGGUUCCCCUGUUCUGGACAUUUCACAUAAAGGGAAUCACAUAAUGUUUGUCUAAGCGCUUAGCGUAAAGUUUUCAAGGUUCCCCCACGUAGUAGCAGGUAUCGGACUUCAUUCCUUCUUAUGGACAGAUGCUGUCUCAUCGUGCGGAGAGACCACAUUCUGUGUGCGCGGGUUUUGGUGGGGACAUAGUUUCUCAGUCCUCCGGGCACACACCCAGCUGUGGAGUUGCAGGGUCAUAAAGCAACAGCGGGUUUGACGGUCCCAAGA